Raphanus sativus (radish) is the source of this 2000-nucleotide RNA transcript. It is a transcript of the gene named kinesin-like protein KIN-8B, with no coding region annotated. NCBI's taxonomy places the organism in Eukaryota, Viridiplantae, Streptophyta, Magnoliopsida, Brassicales, Brassicaceae. The transcript has 6 exons. The record is from RefSeq and is a predicted model, not a curated record.
CAACACAAAGACUAAAAAGCUGUCGUCGCAUCUUCUCCAACUUCGUCGUUUGCACUUCUUCAACGCAUCGACGAUUAAUCGACACACCACUUCACCUAUGUGCAAUGAACCCUCUGAAAAUUGCUUUUAUGACUUCCUUUCACCUUCCUCCCUAUAAGAGUCUUUAUAAUUCUUCCUCACUCAACACUAUCCCAACGUGCAGAGAUGAACAUCACAAUUUCAACGAGAUCGAAAGGACGUGAAAUAUACAUCAUUCGGAGAUCCCAAAAUCCGUUGAUGGAGAAAGAACGUGGAAGAAUUAACCAAUCAUCACUUACAUAGUCGUACUUUUGGAAUCCGUUGAUGGAAAACGAAUAUAUGGUGGAAAAAGAAUGUGGAAGAGACGUCGUUUCGAGUGAAUAACUGUAAGGAGGUGAUAGUGUUGGACCCUGACUUAUCGAAGGAUUACCUUGACCGGAUUCAGAAUCGGACUAAAGAGAAGAAAUAUUGUUCAUCACCAUGGCUUUGGCCCUGAGAGUACCAACAAGAGUGUUUGUGACUGAACUUGUGAGAAGUUUGACUUCUGGUUUAUGGUUGGUGAUUUUGAAUAGGUUGUUCAUGGACUCAACGCUACAGUCUUUGCCUAUGGUUCCACUGGAAGUGGUAAAACCUAUACAAUGGUUGGAACACGAAGUGAACCUGGAUUGAUGGUUCUCAGUCUGAAUACCGUAUUUGACAUGAUUAAGAGUGACAAGAACUCUGAUUACUUCGAAGUGACUUGCUCCUAUCUUGAAGUCUACAAUGAAGUUAUAUACGAUCUGCUUGAAAAAUCAUCCGGUCAUUUGGAGCUCACUAGCUCAGGGAGGAUCCAGAGCAGGGAGUAGUUGUUGCAGACCUGCGAUCAAUCAAGGUCCACUGCAAUGAAACUUUUUUUUUCUUGAAAACAAACUCCCAGAAGCUGCUGCUGCUCCUUGCCUUGGAGCUAGCAGAUCAGCUUUGAGCAUAAGUGUCGUGAUGAUGGUCACGUGAGCAACUCAUACUUUGUAUCUGUUGGAGCCAAACACCGAGGAUUGGCCUCUCUUACUGGGUGGUAAAGAUUGACGAAGCUUAACCAUUACGGAAAGACUUUCUGCGGAGCUUCAAUUCUGCUUUCUCAGUUUUGAAUUAUAUUAGUCUUUGUUUUGAACUUGCAUUCUCAAUUUCACUACUCCAGUUUUAGUUCCUGAUUUUGUGUUGCAGGAAAUCAUAUUAGGUCUGGAACCAGACGGGGAGCUAAGAUAUCCUUCUCAACAAGCUCUCUGGCGCGGGUGAAUUCCAGUGUUACGACACAAGUUUACUGCUCUCAGACAGUACGCUGAAUACGAUCAACAGCCCAUUCCACUUCUUUCUUCUCAAACGGAGGGUCCUGAGAAUCUCAGUAUGGCUAUUUCUUCUUGAGUGGUAUUCGUCUCUUCUCUUCCCAUGCAGACUGUUUCUUCUCUGCGGCUUCAUCUGUAUUUAGUGGAAGUGGAGUGUCUCUAUGUUGGAAGUUCCCUCUCUUACACCAAUGGCACAAACUAGGAUCUCAGUCUUUUGAGUUAACAGUUGGGUUCUAAACUUCUACAGCUCUAAUGGUCAUGACAGGUACGAGGCAAACAUAGAUCUUUGCAAAUCAAUCACAAAGACUCGGUGAAAUCUCCAGCUAAUGAAGUCUUACAUAUUAACUUUGCCAAUUUGGUGUAUACCACCAUUCUAGGUCGUGUUGAUCCUAUAUUCCUAUAAGAGCUAUUAACUUUUCUACUUUUUGAUCAUUAAAGCAAAUCUUUAUUUUCUUAGGUUUCCAUUUUAUUUUGAUAUAUUAGGAGAAGUUUUUUUGGCAAUGAUCUUCCAACGUUAGUUGAUUGCACCCAGAGCCCAAAUGAUUGUAUAGGAAUUUUAGAUUGCCUAUUUAUUGUUGUUAUCUUUUGCACCAACAGACUGGUCAUUGGUUCUCCUCUUUUACUUGCUCAAGUAUUAUCUAAAACGAGAGGUACUAACCCAAA